Dicentrarchus labrax (European seabass) is the source of this 1729-nucleotide long non-coding RNA. RefSeq lists it as uncharacterized. The record is from RefSeq and is a predicted model, not a curated record. The transcript has 4 exons. NCBI's taxonomy places the organism in Eukaryota, Metazoa, Chordata, Actinopteri, Moronidae.
GGCGCAGCAAUUAAACGGGCGCACCCUCAUUCAUUCAGAAAAUUAAAAACUCCUGUGGGAAAAGUCUGUGUCUUGGCAAAACAAAUAGACACAGACACUAGAAGCAAGACUCAGAAAGACGUUUAUUUGCCUUUUCUGUUUGCAAUUAAAAAUGUGCUUUUUUCGACGUGACGUGCAGUGACCCGUCAAUCAACUGGGGUGGAGUCAAGGCUGGCUUGACCACAGUCACCCGAGGCAUCCAAUCAGGUUCCAGAGUUGAGCAGCGCUACCCCGGCCACCCCUCUAGCUCCGCCCCUGGGUAGAAGCAGAAGAAGGCAGCGACGACGACCUCUAUCCAGACCAUUCAACAUCACAGGUCUUCCUCAGGGAAACUGCCCGACUGCACAGGGGUCAGCCUAUUGAUGGCAAGAGGAGACUACACUCAACUGUCUUUCUCAGGGACAUUAUCCUACCACCCUGGGGUCAGCCUAUUGAUGGCCAGAGGAGACUACGUUCAACACGUGACACUGGAAUCAACCUUUCUGGACCGUCUCCACAAACAGAUAAUGAAUCUCAGAGUCCCAGUGCAGGGAAGGCAACUCAUCAGAAGGUGUCUACCACAGUAGUGAAGACUGCUUCAGCUGAGUCCAGUGGCAGUUCAUCUUUCUCUGUGGACAACAUCAGAACAGCUGUAUAUAAGACAUUGGCUGCCAGCUGUGCUGCAAUUUUAAUUUUAAUUUAAUAAAAAAACAUUUAAGCAGACUAAUCUGACCAAUUUGAUACAACAACACAAGUCAGAAUAAAGCUGAAAUAAAUUUUCAUUUAAAAGCCAGCUUUCAACUAAUGGCAAACAAAUCAAAUCAAACGUCUGGUAGCUAAUAAUGGUCAGGUAAAAAUAAUGAAGGAGGGCUCAACAUGGUACAUUUUACAAUUAGUUAUGAUAAUUUACUUUUCCACAAAACUAAUUCCAUCAGAACAGAAAGUUACUAGCAGGAUCCCAGUUUUAAGCCAUUCGCGCCAACUUUCCCAUAAAUUAUGUUAAGAGACUUUAGAGAUAGAUGAAGUUUAGACUGAGGCAGGGUCAAGAAGAGGGGCAGAGAAAGAGAGAAAAAUGGCACUUGACGUGGUGCUAAUAAUCUGAUAACUGAAUGACUAUUGAGCCGUUUUGUAUUCAAAUAUUGAUCGAUUACCAAAUAAUAAUCGCUCUGUAUCAUGUAUGUAUGUAGGAUGAAAAUCAGUACUCUGAUUAACAUUUAUGUUUUACAAAAAUGAGAAUGGAAUAUUAUUCAGUUAAUUUAUUAGUUUUCUGGGCAUGUCUGAAAAAGGACAACAAGGUCACAAAGGUUUUCUUAGACACCAAAAUAUUACACAGUUUUAAUUUCAAAAGAUUGAGGCACAUUUGGACUUUUUUUUACUGCCUGAAAUGCAUCCAUUUAAUGCGUUUUUGGAACAUUUCUGGUCUUUUCUAUGACUUGCCUGGAAACUGCAUCAAUUUCUUUAAUGUUUUUACAUUCACAAAUUCAGUGAUUGAUUUUGAAUUUUAGAAGUAGCCUAUUUAGUGAAUUGUUAUGUGUUAAAAAUCUGUCUAGCAUGCAUUAACAAGUGAUUUUAUGUAUUUUUACAUUGCAUUUAAUCAAUAUCUGAAUGUGGUUGUAGAACACUUUAUCCACAUUUAUAUGAUCUUUUAGAUUUUGUUUUUACUUUUAAUCAUUUUUGAGCAUUGUUUUUGAAUGUUUAUAUUCACAUUGAA